This 481-nucleotide long non-coding RNA is filed under the name Carica papaya (papaya). Its description in RNAcentral is "long non-coding RNA (CPAP_LNC010496)". The record is from RNAcentral. Lineage: Eukaryota; Viridiplantae; Streptophyta; Magnoliopsida; Brassicales; Caricaceae.
CCCUUUGCUCCAUUUUCGCGCUCUGAUAAGCUCGGUCGCAUAGCCGAUUGGACACGCGCCCUUGCUAACCCCUCUGCCCGACCCCCCACUGCUGGUGGUGGUUCAAAGGGAAACCCCUCUGACUCCGCCGUCUUCGAUUUCUCCGCCUUCGCCAUCGACGACUCUUUCCCCGUCACCGGCUCUGGUGCUAACCUCGACGAGGAUUCAACUUUCCGCCUAGUCGAUGGAAAGCCCCCGCCGCGGCCCAAGUUUGGACCUAAGUGGCGGUUCACGCAGCAUCACCACCGCCCGCAGCUCCCUCAGCGUCGCGACGAGGAGGUCGAGGCCCGUAAGCGUGAGGCCGAGAAGGAACGCGCACGCCGAGACCGGCUUUACAACCUUAAUCGCUCGAAUGUCAACCAGCCGCGGAGGGAGGCUGCCGCCUUUAAGUCCUCUGUCGAUAUUCAGCCUGAAUGGAACAUGCUCGACCAGAUCCCUUUCU